CCUUUAGAAUAUAAUUUAAGGUCUAAUCUGCCCACUGAGGAAUUAAAUGGCCGCGGUAUUUUGACCGUGCGAAGGUAGCAUAAUCAUUAGUUUUUUAAUUGAGAGCUGGAAUGAAAGAUUGGAUGAGAAAAUGACUGUCUCAAAUUAAUUUACUUAGAAUUUUAUUUUUAAGUUAAAAAGCUUAAAUAAUUUUAAAAGACGAGAAGACCCUAUAGAGUUUAAUAUUUUUUUAUUUUAAUAUUUAAUUGUUUUAAAAAGUUUUAAUUUAAAAUAGUAUUUUGUUGGGGUGACAGAAAAAUUUAAUAAACUUUUUUUUUAUUCUAAUACUUAUAAGUAAAUUAUUGAUCCAAAAUUUUUGAUUAUAAGAUUAAAUUACCUUAGGGAUAACAGCGUAAUUUUUUUUGAGAGUUCUUAUCGAAAAAGAAGAUUGCGACCUCGAUGUUGGAUUAAAAUUAAGUUUUGGUGUAGAAGCUAAAAUUUUAGGUCUGUUCGACCUUUAAAACUUU
Molecule: ribosomal RNA, 506 nt
Filed under: Cymatodera pallida
Lineage: Eukaryota; Metazoa; Arthropoda; Insecta; Coleoptera; Cleridae
Description: partial 16S ribosomal RNA
Rfam family: Bacterial large subunit ribosomal RNA
Source: RNAcentral